Molecule: long non-coding RNA, 515 nt
Filed under: Linum usitatissimum (flax)
Lineage: Eukaryota; Viridiplantae; Streptophyta; Magnoliopsida; Malpighiales; Linaceae
Description: long non-coding RNA (LUSI_LNC006918)
Source: RNAcentral
AAGGUAGUUGGCCAUCUUCGAUCUACAGAUUACAGAUUAUAAUCCGCAGAUCGAUCCCUCCAUGGAAAUUUGCUCGAAACUGGAUGCGACCAAAGACGGAGGAAGAAAGGGUGGGAAGUAAAAUUAUCAGAUGAUAUGAUUUCUUCCAGUAUGGAAAUGUACUGCAGACUUCGCGGCGCACUGUACCGGACUGGGACGUAUGGCUUCUGAUGGAUCGCGGAUCACUCUUUUUCUUUCUCCUCCUGAAAACAACUCACUAGCAAACUAACCCUUCCACGUAAUUUGUAUGAAAUGUUUUAAUUUUUUUUUUGAAAUGAAAUGUUUUUAAUUUUUUUUUGAAAUGAAAUGUUUUUGUGUUCGGUAAGUAAAGGAAUUUAUUUUUAAUUAGUAUUAGCUUUUUUGAGGAAUUUAAUAUAAAUUUAUUAAUUAAAAGUAAAAUGAUAUAUAUUUAUUAUCAAUGAUAAAUAGUAAUUUUUUGUCAGAUGAAAACUAAUCAAAGUAUGUGUGAAAAUUUU